RNAcentral lists this long non-coding RNA (552 nucleotides) under Eucalyptus grandis. RNAcentral describes it as "long non-coding RNA (EGRA_LNC001612)". The record is from RNAcentral. Lineage: Eukaryota; Viridiplantae; Streptophyta; Magnoliopsida; Myrtales; Myrtaceae.
UGCGCGCUUGGGAACACACUAUAGCCUCUGGCUCUAUAACUAUUAAACAUUUUCUUUUUUCCUCUCUCCAGAAUCAAUAGAAAAAAGAAUUCCUCUGCAGCUUACCGCUUACCUAUCUUUCUCCAAAACCCUCUCCCUGGCUCCCACAACUGCCGCAAAAAGAACAAGAGCAUCUGUACUAUCUUUCGCAAAUUCCGAAAGAGGAUUAUCGGCUUGCUUCCCUCGAUGAACGACUAGACUGGACUUGUUCUUGCCCGGGAGCAACUACGAACUGAACUCGAUACUCAAGCUGUUCAGGCUACUCAAGACUCAUCGCUAUCCUCACGAGAAACAAAACGGAAGACCUAAAGACUCAAGACUUGCCCGGCUUCCCUUGCUCCCUAGCUCUGCUCCUUGCUCAUUCUUUUGCUACUUAUCUCUUCCUUGCCUGACGAGAAGAUGCUAAACACGGUUCGAUAUACUCCUCGAGAGCCUGCUCGAACCAAUCCCUUCCUUCGAGGUCAGGAUUGAACUUCAUUUCAAUCGUACCUCUCUCCGUCUUGCUUGGAGAUU